UACGGUGGGGGCAAGCGUUGUUCGGAAUUACUGGGCGUAAAGGGCGCGUAGGCGGUUGGAUAAGUCAGCUGUGAAAACCACGGGCUUAACUCGUGGCCUGCAGUUGAGACUGUCUGGCUUGAGUGUGGGAGAGGAGAGUGGAAUUCCUGGUGUAGCGGUGAAAUGCGCAGAUAUCGGGAGGAACACCUAUGGCGAAGGCAGCUCGCUGGGACGUUACUGACGCUGAGACGCGAAAGCGUGGGGAGCAAACAGG
This 253-nucleotide ribosomal RNA is filed under the name uncultured bacterium. Its description in RNAcentral is "partial 16S ribosomal RNA". It matches the Rfam family "Bacterial small subunit ribosomal RNA", at positions 524 to 776 of the family's 1533-position model. The record is from RNAcentral.